RNAcentral lists this unclassified non-coding RNA (373 nucleotides) under soil metagenome. RNAcentral describes it as "partial contains 5.8S ribosomal RNA, internal transcribed spacer 2, and large subunit ribosomal RNA". The stretch from base 1 to 120 matches the Rfam family "5.8S ribosomal RNA", at positions 35 to 154 of the family's 154-position model. The record is from RNAcentral.
GAUGAAGAACGUAGCGAAAUGCGAUAAGUAAUGUGAAUUGCAGAAUUCAGUGAAUCAUCGAAUCUUUGAACGCUCAUUGCGCCCGCCAGUAUUCUGGCGGGCAUGCCUGUUCGAGCGUCAUUACAACCCUCAAGCCCCCCGGCUUGGUGUUGGGGACCGGCCACCGGUGCCCUGCUGCUUCCGCGGCAGGCGCACCCGGCCGCCCCCGAAAUGAAUUGGCGGCCCCGUCGCGGCCUCCCUCUGCGUAGUAGCACACAUCUCGCAGCUAGAGCGCGGCGCGGCCACUGCCGUAAAACGCACCAACUUUUUUUACAGUUGACCUCGAAUCAGGUAGGAAUACCCGCUGAACUUAAGCAUAUCAAUAAGCGGAGGA